GGAAUUGACGGGGAGCACCACGAACGGGUGGAGCUUGCGGUUUUAAUUGGAUUCAAACGCCGGAAAUCUUACCGGGACCGACAGCAAUAUGAAGGCCAGGCUGAAGACUUUGCCGGAUUAGCUGAGAGGUGGUGCAUGGCCGUCGUCAGUUCGUACUGUGAAGCAUCCUGUUAAGUCAGGCAACGAGCGAGACCCACGCCCACAGUUGCCAGCGUACUCUCUGGAGUGACGGGUACACUGUGGGGACCGCCGCUGCUAAAGCGGAGGAAGGAAUGGGCAACGGUAGGUCAGUAUGCCCCGAAUAUCCCGGGCUACACGCGAGCUACAAUGGUUGGUACAAUGGGUAUCUACCCCGAAAGGGGACGGGAAUCUCCUAAAACCAAUCUUAGUUCGGAUUGAGGGCUGCAACUCGCCCACAUGAAGCUGGAAUCCGUAGUAAUCGCGUUUCAAAAUAGCGCGGUGAAUAUGUCCCUGCUCCUU
This 480-nucleotide ribosomal RNA is filed under the name uncultured Methanosaeta sp. Its description in RNAcentral is "bacterial SSU rRNA". It matches the Rfam family "Archaeal small subunit ribosomal RNA", at positions 861 to 1338 of the family's 1478-position model. Lineage: Archaea; Methanobacteriati; Methanobacteriota; Methanomicrobia; Methanotrichales; Methanotrichaceae. The record is from RNAcentral.